This 431-nucleotide ribosomal RNA is filed under the name Stenotrophomonas sp. SAM-B. RNAcentral's name for it is "bacterial SSU rRNA". It matches the Rfam family "Bacterial small subunit ribosomal RNA", at positions 350 to 793 of the family's 1533-position model. The record is from RNAcentral. Lineage: Bacteria; Pseudomonadati; Pseudomonadota; Gammaproteobacteria; Lysobacterales; Lysobacteraceae.
AGCAGUGGGGAAUAUUGCACAAUGGGCGGAAGCCUGAUGCAGCGACGCCGCGUGGGGGAUGACGGCCUUCGGGUUGUAAACUCCUUUCACCAUCGACGAAGCGAGAGUGACGGUACCUGCAGAAGAAGCACCGGCCAACUACGUGCCAGCAGCCGCGGUAAUACGUAGGGUGCGAGCGUUGUCCGGAAUUAUUGGGCGUAAAGAGCUCGUAGGCGGUUUGUCGCGUCGUCUGUGAAAUCCCGCGGCUCAACUGCGGGCUUGCAGUCGAUACGGGCAGACUAGAGUUAGGUAGGGGAGACUGGAAUUCCUGGUGUAGCGGUGAAAUGCGCAGAUAUCAGGAGGAACACCGGUGGCGAAGGCGGGUCUCUGGGCAGUAACUGACGCUGAGGAGCGAAAGCAUGGGGAGCGAACAGGAUUAGAUACCCCGGUAG